GCACCUGCUAAAUCAGGUGUCGGGAUUGGCGUCCUGAAAGUGUGUGCACAGACAAUCUU
Molecule: small RNA, 59 nt
Filed under: Enterobacter kobei
Lineage: Bacteria; Pseudomonadati; Pseudomonadota; Gammaproteobacteria; Enterobacterales; Enterobacteriaceae
Description: isrK
Source: RNAcentral